RNAcentral lists this ribosomal RNA (254 nucleotides) under uncultured bacterium. RNAcentral describes it as "partial 16S ribosomal RNA". It matches the Rfam family "Bacterial small subunit ribosomal RNA", at positions 524 to 776 of the family's 1533-position model. The record is from RNAcentral.
UACGUAGGGUGCAAGCGUUGCCCGGAUUUAUUGGGCGUAAAGGGCGCGUAGGCGGCUCUGCACGUUCGUUGUGAAAUCGCCCGGCUUAACUGGGCGGGGGCCUUCCAGACGGCGUGGCUUGAGCAGCGGAGGGGGACGUGGAAUUCCGGGUGGAGCGGUGAAAUGCGUAGAGAUCCGGAAGAACACCGGUGGCGAAGGCGGCCCGCUGGGAUCGAUGCUGACGCUGAGGCGCGACAGCGUGGGGAGCAAACAGG